CUCCGGGGGCAAGAGGUUCGACUCGAGCGACGCGAGAGAACGUUGCGUCAGCAACGGCCCGCAGGGCGAGUCACGCAGUGGCGAGUCAUCCUCUCCUGGCCUGCU
RNAcentral lists this small RNA (105 nucleotides) under Salmonella enterica. RNAcentral describes it as "partial RtT sRNA". It matches the Rfam family "RtT RNA", at positions 30 to 130 of the family's 130-position model. From Rfam's summary of the family: This family represents a bacterial cis-regulatory element known as RtT RNA. The exact function of RtT is unknown although it is thought that it may be involved in changing the cellular response in relation to amino acid starvation. RNAcentral also lists the same sequence under 4 other names. The record is from RNAcentral. Lineage: Bacteria; Pseudomonadati; Pseudomonadota; Gammaproteobacteria; Enterobacterales; Enterobacteriaceae.